RNAcentral lists this small RNA (96 nucleotides) under Macaca nemestrina (pig-tailed macaque). RNAcentral's name for it is "Y RNA (ENSMNEG00000023202.1)". The record is from RNAcentral. Lineage: Eukaryota; Metazoa; Chordata; Mammalia; Primates; Cercopithecidae.
GGCUGGUGUGAGUUAUCGCGAUUGUUCAUAGUUACAGAUCAACCUCCUUGUUUUACUCUUUCCCCUCUUCUCUAUACUGCACUUGGCUAGUCUGUA